AUACGGAGGGUGCAAGCGUUAUCCGGAUUCACUGGGUUUAAAGGGUGCGUAGGUGGGUUGGUAAGUCAGUGGUGAAAUCUCCGAGCUUAACUUGGAAACUGCCAUUGAUACUAUCAGUCUUGAAUACCGUGGAGGUCAGCGGAAUAUGUCAUGUAGCGGUGAAAUGCUUAGAUAUGACAUAGAACACCAAUUGCGAAGGCAGCUGGCUACUCGAAUAUUGACACUGAGGCACGAAAGCGUGGGGAUCAAACAGGAUUAGAUACCCUGGUAGUCCACGCCCUAAACUAUGGAUACUCGACAUUUGCGAUACACUGUAAGUGUCUGAGCGAAAGCAUUAAGUAUCCCACCUGGGAAGUACGAUCGCAAGAUUGAA
RNAcentral lists this ribosomal RNA (373 nucleotides) under uncultured bacterium. RNAcentral describes it as "bacterial SSU rRNA". It matches the Rfam family "Bacterial small subunit ribosomal RNA", at positions 523 to 898 of the family's 1533-position model. The record is from RNAcentral.